Molecule: ribosomal RNA, 253 nt
Filed under: uncultured bacterium
Lineage: Bacteria
Description: partial 16S ribosomal RNA
Rfam family: Bacterial small subunit ribosomal RNA
Source: RNAcentral
UACGUAGGGGGCAAGCGUUAUCCGGAAUUACUGGGUGUAAAGGGUGAGUAGGCGGUUAAAUAAGCCAUAUGUGAAAGUCUGUAGCUCAACUAUAGAAUUGCAUAAGGAACUGUGUAACUAGAGUGCAGGAGAGGUAAGUGGAAUUCCUAGUGUAGCGGUGAAAUGCGUAGAUAUUAGGAGGAGCACCAGUGGCGAAGGCGACUUACUGGACUGAAACUGACGCUGAGACACGAAAGCGUGGGGAGCAAACAGG